RNAcentral lists this long non-coding RNA (1515 nucleotides) under Salmo salar (Atlantic salmon). Its description in RNAcentral is "lncRNA (ENSSSAG00000098825.1)". The record is from RNAcentral. Lineage: Eukaryota; Metazoa; Chordata; Actinopteri; Salmoniformes; Salmonidae.
CCCUUCUCUUCAGACCAUUCAGAUCCACACCUACCACCCUUCUCUUCAGACCACUCAGACCCACACCCACCACCCUUCUCUUCAGACCACUCUGACCCACACCUACCACCCUUCUCUUCAGACCACUCAGACCCACACCCACCACCCUUCUCUUCAGACCACUCAGACCCACGCCUACCACCCUUCUCUUCAGACCACUCAGACCCACACCCACCACCCUUCUCUUCAGACCACUCAGACCCACACCUACCACCCUUCUCUUCAGACCUACGGCUGACAUCUUUAGUCUCUCUAUCUCUCUCUCUUUCUUUCUAUCCAUCCUCUUGAUACAGAUCUCUUGAUCCAUCCUCUGGCUGCAUUUUAAGUAAGUGGAGACUUUUUCUCUUUUAAUUCAGCUUUCUUCCCAUUUCUUGUGUUUUCAAAAACAAACCAGGUUGUAGUUUUAAAAUGCAAACCAACUGGAGGAGAUUAUUCAAAAAUGGUAUCUUAAAAUAAGUAACAAAAUCCCACUGGCCCAGGUAUUGUAUCAUCUGUAACCAAAUCCCACUGGCCCAGGUACUGUUUCAUCUGUAACCAAAUCCCACUGGCCCGGGUACUGUUUCAUCUGUAACCAAAUCCCACUGGCCCGGGUACUGUUUCAUCUGUAACCAAAUCCCACUGGCCCGGGUACUGUUUCAUCUGUAACCAAAUCCCACUGGCCCAGGUACUGUUUCAUCUGUCAACUAAUGACACUCAUUGCACUGUGGUCCUGAGACUAUGGCAGGUAGCCUACAUCUAGGUUACAAUAGUAGUCAACAGUUAGUAUGACACAUUACGUUACAGUGUGGCAGGUUAAAGCCUCAGGCUUAGUUUUAUUACUAGACGAGGUCCAUUAUCAGAUCUGACCCAUAUGAUUCAGUCAUUGAAACCCAUGUCACCUUCAAACACAUACACAGCACUUCUUUAGUGGGUUUGAGAAGGUUCAGGGCUUGAUGUUUAAUGUGAGCUCAACGUUAGCUGCUUAGUUGGCCAAACUCUCUUUAUUAAUUGCUAUUGUUAGUAUAGUUUUUAUCUCACAGUCUCUAGUUCUCCUUCUCAAUUCAAGCCCAUUGCCAGAGUGGACCUCCCUGGUGCAUUCCAUCAGUCAAAGUUGUGUAUAGGGCUAUUCUUUCUGACACUUUUGUAUCCACCUUUCAUGCAGAAUGUCUCCUGGCUCCAGCCGUAAGCUGUGUCCUAGUUGUAACACAUCAAUAGGAGUAGCAUCAAAGAAGUGCACGUUCUGUGGUGCAACAAUACAGCUAAAGGUCAAGUUAGAGGCCCAAAAAAGGAAGGCUACAGAUGAAUGGGAAAAUAAGACAAUGAAACAUGGAAGGUAUGCAACCUUGGUUAAUGCAGCAAACAAGCUGGUAAGCUUUAUUAUGUUUUCCUCUAAAAAGAUUUCUGCAUUUCUAGCUUAGGGAUAUGAUACUGUAACGCCCUGGCCAUAGAGAGGGUUUUUUGUUCUUUAUUUUGGUUAGGCCAGGGUGUUACAUUGGG